Molecule: ribosomal RNA, 451 nt
Filed under: uncultured bacterium
Lineage: Bacteria
Description: bacterial SSU rRNA
Rfam family: Bacterial small subunit ribosomal RNA
Source: RNAcentral
GUGGGGAAUAUUGGACAAUGGAGGCAACUCUGAUCCAGCCAUGCCGCGUGUGUGAAGAAGGCCUUUUGGUUGUAAAGCACUUUAAGCGAGGAGGAGGCUUACCUGGUUAAUACCUGGGAUAAGUGGACGUUACUCGCAGAAUAAGCACCGGCUAACUCUGUGCCAGCAGCCGCGGUAAUACAGAGGGUGCAAGCGUUAAUCGGAUUUACUGGGCGUAAAGCGCGCGUAGGUGGCUAAUUAAGUCAAAUGUGAAAUCCCCGAGCUUAACUUGGGAAUUGCAUUCGAUACUGGUUAGCUAGAGUAUGGGAGAGGAUGGUAGAAUUCCAGGUGUAGCGGUGAAAUGCGUAGAGAUCUGGAGGAAUACCGAUGGCGAAGGCAGCCAUCUGGCCUAAUACUGACACUGAGGUGCGAAAGCAUGGGGAGCAAACAGGAUUAGAAACCCUUGUAGUCC